Molecule: ribosomal RNA, 506 nt
Filed under: uncultured bacterium
Lineage: Bacteria
Description: partial 16S ribosomal RNA
Rfam family: Bacterial small subunit ribosomal RNA
Source: RNAcentral
AGUGAACGCUGGCGGUAGGCCUAACACAUGCAAGUCGAACGGCAGCACAGGAGAGCUUGCUCUCUGGGUGGCGAGUGGCGGACGGGUGAGGAAUACAUCGGAAUCUACUCUGUCGUGGGGGAUAACGUAGGGAAACUUACGCUAAUACCGCAUACGACCUACGGGUGAAAGCAGGGGAUCUUCGGACCUUGCGCGAUUGAAUGAGCCGAUGUCGGAUUAGCUAGCUGGCGGGGUAAAGGCCCACCAAGGCGACGAUCCGUAGCUGGUCUGAGAGGAUGAUCAGCCACACUGGAACUGAGACACGGUCCAGACUCCUACGGGAGGCAGCAGUGGGGAAUAUUGGACAAUGGGCGCAAGCCUGAUCCAGCCAUACCGCGUGGGUGAAGAAGGCCUUCGGGUUGUAAAGCCCUUUUGUUGGGAAAGAAAUCCAGCCGGCUAAUACCCGGUUGGGAUGACGGUACCCAAAGAGUAAGCACCGGCUAACUUCGUGCCAGCCGCCGCAGUAA